Molecule: long non-coding RNA, 1506 nt
Organism: Lynx canadensis (Canada lynx)
Lineage: Eukaryota; Metazoa; Chordata; Mammalia; Carnivora; Felidae
Exons: 3
Source: RefSeq, a predicted model, not a curated record
GCUGUUGAGACAACUCCAGGCCUCAAUUCAAUCAUGUCUUUCAUUUUUCUUUGUGAAUGGUAGAAUGGCAUCCACAGUAUGGUAUGAAAUGUAGAGAAUGAAUGAUUUUAUGAAUCCUUGCUUAAGUCACGUACAUGCCUAAAGCCUCUGAAAACGUAUCCUGGACAAGUGUGGGCACAACAUUUCAAACAGCCCCCUGAUGCUCUGGAAGUGAGCUGUUGAUCAUGAGCUCUGUCUUAUGAAGCGAAUGUCUGCCAUUAAAGCUUCUUAGCUCUUUGGGUGGUGUUCUCCGAAAUUGCUCUCAGCUGGCUGGUGAGCAUAUUAAACUGUGCUUUUCACCACAUACUGUAGCCUUUGCUCCCAGACUUCCUCCAUUAUUCUUGACCAUGUUUUUAUGCUCAUUCUUGCCCUUUUAAAUAAUUGUGUGCUCAUCAUUCCUCCAAGUCUUACUCUAACUCUGCAAUAUCCAAAGGGAUCAAUUCAGUUCCCAAACAGUCAACAGUGUGUUUAUACCACGAAUGCAAACAACGGAGAGACUAGAUGAAUCUUCCAUUUUCUCAACCAAUUUUGACAUUGUGGAGGCACAUGUUGAUCUUUCCUUGUUCUCACCAAUCUUGAGCAACUACCUGGAUGGAAAAAAGGCAUUGUUCUCAGCACUGGGGAUAUGGCAAUUACCAAAACCUCAGAAGGGCCUGUCCUCUGCGCCUGCAUUCCAGUGCGGUUCCUAACAGCCAACACUGAGGAAAGACUCACCCUGCACCAGGCACUGCUCUCAGCUUGGAACACAUAGCCAUUCAUUUACCCCCGCACCAAGCCUCUGGUGUACAGACUAUUAAUAUCCUCCUGAUGCCGAUGAGGAAAUGGUGGCAUAAGAAGUUUAGGACACUUGCCCAGGGUCACAUGUCUCCAGGAAGCUGGGCCGAGUUCCUGAAAUGAAAACCACCUCCCCUCAGCUUGGCUCUGGGCUGCAUGACUCAGGGGCUGGCUCUGACACCCUGGCAUACGAACUCAAAAGCCAGAAGUUUGGAAGAGACUUUAUUUUGGUAUCUAAGUAAGAAGGAAAUACCUGGUGCAACUUGUCAGCCUUGACAAGGAAAAAAGAGGGUAAUAAUCAUAAUAAAAGAUGGUAUCCUGGGUGAAGGUGAGGCUGUUUAUAAGCAUAGGUCCUGUGUACACUUGGCGUUGCAAAUGUCGGGCAGGACGAGCACUAGAGCUCCAUGGAAGCAGCUCUCUCUUGUUUGUGAGCUCUUGUACCUUGGAGCUGCUUUGGAAUGAUGGAUAAUUAUUAGAAUUUUAAAUUAGUGGAUUAAUGGAAUCCAGACAUGAUUGAACAGAAUCAGGAAGAGGCUAAAAAGAUUGAGAAUAAAACCGAUUGAACAAGAAGGAAAAGGAAAAGGAAAAGGCUCAGUAACCGAUACACUUAUUGAAAUGUUUCUUAGCAAGUCCACAGAGGAGGAUGAUAAUAAUAAAAAUAGUAGGAGGGCCACUAUUGUUGUCCGACACUGG